GGCCAGCCGGGCGUUUGGCGGCGGGGCAACUCACCAGGGACUGCAUGUUUGUUGCUUGUCGAGUGUUGCUGCAGUUCUCUGCGAAUUAUCCCUCGAUGCAAUGCCUUUUUAUGCUCUGGACCAGGUGCUGAGAUUCUGCAGGACGCCAACCCCCGCAUGAGGGCCUGGGGGAUCCCUUACAGAGAACCCGGCCGGCAGCUUGCUUUUCCGCUCAAUUUAAAUAGGGAGCGUCUACUAACACCCAACCGUCGCUGUCCCCUCCCAGGACACCUCUCGUGGUCUUUCUCAGCCCGUUGAAGACACCGCUGAGGUCAAGGCUGCCAAGGCUAACUUUGCCAGCGAGUACUACCGUACCGCUGCCCGUGCUGCUGUCGCUUCCCCUGUGGUGACCUACCCCUACGGCGGAGCUGCCUACGGGGUCGCUGUCGUUUGCCGUCACAAGCGUGACCUGAGCGCUAUCAAGUCUGGUCUACGCUCCUGCUAAUGUUGCCCCGUAACCUGCUGCCACCAACCCCUACGCCUACGCCCCCACCCCUACGCUUACGCGCCUACUAGGUCUACGGAGGAGCUUAGUACAAACUUUGCCUUCGCUUGUGCUCUCUACGAUGACCGACUGAAUACGAAUGUAUGACUUAUCUCUUUGAGAUUCCCAGCUUCAGGAAUUUGAUGAAAUUUUAGUCCUCCAAAUGAUUAAAUAAAGCAAAAUAUAGCCAAAA
Molecule: long non-coding RNA, 716 nt
Organism: Cloeon dipterum
Lineage: Eukaryota; Metazoa; Arthropoda; Insecta; Ephemeroptera; Baetidae
Exons: 2
Source: RefSeq, a predicted model, not a curated record